AACCAUAGAAACCUGCGGAGUACCUGCGGAGGGAUCAUUACAGAGUUGCAAAACUCCCUAAACCUUUGUGAACGUUACCUAAACCGUUGCUUCGGCGGGCGGCCCGGGUCCUUCCCGGCGCCCCUCGGCCCUCGCGGGCGCCCGCCGGAGGUAAACCAAACUAUUGCAUUGUAUGGCCUCUCUGAGUCUUCUGUACUGAAUAAGUCAAAACUUUCAGCAACGGAUCUCAGAUCGGAAGAG
Molecule: unclassified non-coding RNA, 240 nt
Filed under: soil metagenome
Description: partial contains 5.8S ribosomal RNA, internal transcribed spacer 2, and large subunit ribosomal RNA
Source: RNAcentral